GACGAACGCUGGCGGCGUGCUUAACACAUGCAAGUCGAACGGAAAGGCCCUGCUUUUGUGGGGUGCUCGAGUGGCGAACGGGUGAGUAACACGUGAGUAACCUGCCCUUGACUUUGGGAUAACUUCAGGAAACUGGGGCUAAUACCGGAUAGGAGCUCCUGCUGCAUGGUGGGGGUUGGAAAGUUUCGGCGGUUGGGGAUGGACUCGCGGCUUAUCAGCUUGUUGGUGGGGUAGUGGCUUACCAAGGCUUUGACGGGUAGCCGGCCUGAGAGGGUGACCGGCCACAUUGGGACUGAGAUACGGCCCAGACUCCUACGGGAGGCAGCAGUGGGGUAUAUUGCACAAUGGGCGGAAGCCUGAUGCAGCAACGCCGCGUGCGGGAUGACGGCCUUCGUGUUGUAAACCGCUUUCGCCUGUGACGAAGCGUGAGUGACGGUAAUGGGUAAAGAAGCACCGGCUAACUACGUG
This 468-nucleotide ribosomal RNA is filed under the name uncultured bacterium. RNAcentral describes it as "partial 16S ribosomal RNA". It matches the Rfam family "Bacterial small subunit ribosomal RNA", at positions 28 to 507 of the family's 1533-position model. The record is from RNAcentral.